ACUCCUAUGAAGAAAGAACUUACCUCUUUCCUGUAGGUAUCUUAAAAAACCUCUUGACAAUCAAUGUCAAAUUUAUUAUGGACAAAUCGAAAUGUUUUAGAUAAAAUUAUAUUAAUAUUCGCCGGUAUGUUCACGAUUUGCAUGUGAAUCUGGCAAUGACAGAAUGCGAUUUACUACCUAGAAAAGAUCCUGUCAUAUCUUUGUCAGAAUUCUGCAACUGCGGGGGCGACUGCAUGGACAAACCAAAGCCUGUCUAUGGCCCUGCUUAUCAAAACGCCUUCCGUUUCCGCGGCCCGCUCGCCGGCCAGAACACAUGUUUUGGAAGAAAUUUCAGAUGCCUGUGGCUCCUAGGAAUAGUGAUAAUAAUGCUUUUGAGUAUCUCUUUAAUGGUGGUGUUGUUUUUAAAAAGAAAUGGCGGUUUUGAGUAGUUUCGUUGUUUGUUAUUAAAGAUUAAGUUUUGUUCACAUA
Trichoplusia ni (cabbage looper) is the source of this 468-nucleotide long non-coding RNA. RefSeq lists it as uncharacterized. The transcript is spliced from 2 exons. The record is from RefSeq and is a predicted model, not a curated record. NCBI's taxonomy places the organism in Eukaryota, Metazoa, Arthropoda, Insecta, Lepidoptera, Noctuidae.